CCUACGGGAGGCUGCAGUGGGGAAUAUUGGACAAUGGGCGAAAGCCUGAUCUAGCCAUGCCGCGUGUGUGAAGAAGGCCUUCGGGUUGUAAAGCACUUUCAGUGGGGAAGAAAGCCUUGGGGCUAAUACCCUCGAGGAAGGACAUCACCCACAGAAGAAGCACCGGCUAACUCCGUGCCAGCAGCCGCGGUAAUACGGAGGGUGCGAGCGUUAAUCGGAAUUACUGGGCGUAAAGCGCGCGUAGGCGGUCUGAUAAGCCGGUUGUGAAAGCCCCGGGCUCAACCUGGGAACGGCAUCCGGAACUGUCAGGCUAGAGUGCAGGAGAGGAAGGUAGAAUUCCCGGUGUAGCGGUGAAAUGCGUAGAGAUCGGGAGGAAUACCAGUGGCGAAGGCGGCCUUCUGGACUGACACUGACGCUGAGGUGCGAAAGCGUGGGUAGCAAACAGGAUUAGAUACCCUAGUAGUC
RNAcentral lists this ribosomal RNA (465 nucleotides) under Vreelandella stevensii. Its description in RNAcentral is "partial 16S ribosomal RNA". It matches the Rfam family "Bacterial small subunit ribosomal RNA", at positions 338 to 795 of the family's 1533-position model. Lineage: Bacteria; Pseudomonadati; Pseudomonadota; Gammaproteobacteria; Oceanospirillales; Halomonadaceae. The record is from RNAcentral.